GAUGAACGCUAGCGGCAGGCCUAACACAUGCAAGUCGAGGGGGCAGUUACUUUCGGGUGACUGCGACCGGCGUACGGGUGCGUAACGCGUAUACAAUCUUCCUUUCACUGGGGGAUAGCCCGAAGAUAUUUGGAUUAAUACUCCAACGUAUAUAUGUAUGGCACCGCUUUUUUCUUUAAGCUUAGGCGGUGUAAGUUGAGUAUGCGUUCGAUUACCCAGUUGGUGAGGUAACGGCUCCCCAAGGCGCUGAUAGAUAGGGGUUUUGGGAGGGAAGUCCCCCACACUGGUACUGAGAUACGGACCAGACUGCUACGCGACGCAGCAGUGAGGAAUAUUGGACAAUGGACGGUAGACUGAUCCAGCCAUGCCGCGUGCAGGAGGAAGGUCUUAUGGAUUGUAAGCUACUUUUGAAAGGGAAGUAUAAGGGCUACGCGUAGUUUGAUGACGGUACCUAACGAAAAAGCAUCGGCUAACUCCGUG
This 480-nucleotide ribosomal RNA is filed under the name uncultured bacterium. RNAcentral's name for it is "partial 16S ribosomal RNA". It matches the Rfam family "Bacterial small subunit ribosomal RNA", at positions 28 to 507 of the family's 1533-position model. The record is from RNAcentral.